CCUUUGUUGUUUGUGUUGGCUGCUGAUUUGCUUCAGUUUGUGGUCAAUGAUAUGUGUUCCAAAGGGAUUUUGACAAUCCCGAUUCCAACGCAUUGUCAGAACUAUCCUAUAGUUCAGUAUGCUGGUGACACUUCAAUUGUCUUGCCUGCAUUGGAUCACCAAAUCAUAGCUCUAAAGGAUAUGUUAGAUGUUUUUGCUGCCUCAAUUGGUCAGUUAGUCAAUUUUGCAAAAUCGUCAGUGGUGCCUAUGAAUAUUCAGAUGAAGAGGCCAACAGAUUGGCCAAUAUUUUGGGGUGUAAGUUGGGAUCUAUGCCCUUCACUUAUUUGA
RNAcentral lists this ribosomal RNA (327 nucleotides) under Triticum aestivum (bread wheat). RNAcentral describes it as "partial small subunit ribosomal RNA". The record is from RNAcentral. Lineage: Eukaryota; Viridiplantae; Streptophyta; Magnoliopsida; Poales; Poaceae.